UUGACCUCGGAUCAGGUAGGGAUACCCGCUGAACUUAAGCAUAUCAAUAAGCGGAGGAAAAGAACCAACAGGGAUUGCCCUAGUAACGGCGAGUGAAGCGGCAACAGCUCAAAUUUGAAAUCUGGCGCAAGCCCGAGUUGUAAUGUGUAGAGGAUGCUUCUGGGCAGCGGCCGGUCUAAGUCCCUGGGAACAGGACGUCAUAGAGGGUGAGAAUCCCGUAUCUUGCACCCGUCACGUAGCUCCUUCGACGAGUCGAGUUGUUUGGGAAUGCAGCUCUAAAUGGGAGGAUACAAUAUUCUUCUAAGGCUACAUACCGGCCAGAGACCGAUAGCGCAUCAAGUAGAGUGAUCGAGAAGAUGAAAAUGCACUUUCGGAAAGAGAGUUAAAAAGCACGUAGAAAUUGUUGAAAGGGAAGCUCACGCAGCCAGACUUGUCGGCGGUGUUCCGCCGGUCUUCUGACCGGUCUAUUCGCCGCCGGCAGGCCAGCAUCACUUGGGAGCGCCGGAUAAAGGCGUGCGGAAUGUAGCCCCUCGGGGCACUUAUAGCCGCGCGCACAAUACGGCGCCUCCCGAGUGAGGUCCGCGCUUCGGCUAGGAUGCUGGCGUAAUG
RNAcentral lists this ribosomal RNA (609 nucleotides) under Hortaea werneckii. RNAcentral's name for it is "eukaryotic LSU rRNA". It matches the Rfam family "Eukaryotic large subunit ribosomal RNA", at positions 1 to 636 of the family's 3401-position model. Lineage: Eukaryota; Fungi; Ascomycota; Dothideomycetes; Mycosphaerellales; Teratosphaeriaceae. The record is from RNAcentral.